GAUGAACGCUGGCGGCGUGCCUAAUACAUGCAAGUCGAACGCACAGCGAAAGGUGCUUGCACCUUUCAAGUGAGUGGCGAACGGGUGAGUAACACGUGGAUAACCUACCUCAAGGUUGGGGAUAACAUUUGGAAACAGAUGCUAAUACCGAAUAAAACUUCGUAUCGCAUGAUACAAGGUUAAAAGGCGCUACGGCGUCACCUAGAGAUGGAUCCGCGGUGCAUUAGUUAGUUGGUGGGGUAAAGGCCUACCAAGACAAUGAUGCAUAGCCGAGUUGAGAGACUGAUCGGCCACAUUGGGACUGAGACACGGCCCAAACUCCUACGGGAGGCUGCAGUAGGGAAUCUUCCACAAUGGGCGAAAGCCUGAUGGAGCAACGCCGCGUGUGUGAUGAAGGCUUUCGGGUCGUAAAGCACUGUUGUAUGGGAAGAACAGCUAGAGUAGGGAAUGACUUUAGUUUGACGGUACCAUACCAGAAAGGGACGGCUAAAUACGUGCCAGCAGCCGCGGUAAUACGUAUGUCCCGAGCGUUAUCCGGAUUUAUUGGGCGUAAAGCGAGCGCAGACGGUUGAUUAAGUCUGAUGUGAAAGCCCGGAGCUCAACUCCGGAAAGGCAUUGGAAACUGGUCAACUUGAGUGCAGUAGAGGUAAGUGGAACUCCAUGUGUAGCGGUGGAAUGCGUAGAUAUAUGGAAGAACACCAGCGGCGAAGGCGGCUUACUGGACUGUAACUGACGUUGAGGCUCGAAAGUGUGGGUAGCAAACAGGAUUAGAUACCCUGGUAGUCCACACCGUAAACGAUGAACACUAGGUGUUAGGAGGUUUCCGCCU
This 829-nucleotide ribosomal RNA is filed under the name uncultured Leuconostoc sp. RNAcentral describes it as "bacterial SSU rRNA". It matches the Rfam family "Bacterial small subunit ribosomal RNA", at positions 28 to 838 of the family's 1533-position model. Lineage: Bacteria; Bacillati; Bacillota; Bacilli; Lactobacillales; Lactobacillaceae. The record is from RNAcentral.